This 265-nucleotide long non-coding RNA is filed under the name Elaeis guineensis (African oil palm). Its description in RNAcentral is "long non-coding RNA (EGUI_LNC050232)". The record is from RNAcentral. Lineage: Eukaryota; Viridiplantae; Streptophyta; Magnoliopsida; Arecales; Arecaceae.
AGUGGGACUCUUCCUUAGAGUCUUAGUCGGAGUAAGACUCUUCACCAGAGUCACAAUCCAAUUGGACUCUUCAGCCAUCUAAUCUGAUCAAAUCUUCUAAUAUGUGUGACCCUAUAGAUUUAAACCUAAGCUGACAAUAUGGGAACAACUUUCUAUACCAAUCGAUGUAACCAUCUAGCAACGAUGAUCCAACGGUCGGAUAGGUCGAAGUAUUGCAAAGCAACUUUCUAGAAUCUAUUGACAUAUGGUUAUCAUAUAAUUCAUC